UGGGGAAUAUUGCACAAUGGGCGCAAGCCUGAUGCAGCCAUGCCGCGUGUGUGAAGAAGGCCUUCGGGUUGUAAAGCACUUUCAGCGAGGAGGAAGGUGGUGAGCUUAAUACGCUCAUCAAUUGACGUUACUCGCAGAAGAAGCACCGGCUAACUCCGUGCCAGCAGCCGCGGUAAUACGGAGGGUGCAAGCGUUAAUCGGAAUUACUGGGCGUAAAGCGCACGCAGGCGGUUUGUUAAGUCAGGUGUGAAAUCCCCGGGCUCAACCUGGGAACUGCAUUUGAAACUGGCAAGCUAGAGUCUCGCAGAGGGGGGUAGAAUUCCAGGUGUAGCGGUGAAAUGCGUAGAGAUCUGGAGGAAUACCGGUGGCGAAGGCGGCCCCCCUGGACGAAGACUGACGCUCAGGUGCGAAAGCGUGGGGCAGCAAACAGGAUUAGAUACCCUGGUAGUCCACGCUGUAAACGAUGUCGAUUUGGAGGUUGUG
RNAcentral lists this ribosomal RNA (483 nucleotides) under uncultured bacterium. RNAcentral's name for it is "partial 16S ribosomal RNA". It matches the Rfam family "Bacterial small subunit ribosomal RNA", at positions 355 to 828 of the family's 1533-position model. The record is from RNAcentral.